UUGCAGUUAAAAAGCUCGUAGUUGGAUUUCUGCGGGGGCGGGGCGGCCGACCUCAACUCGAGGUUCGAGCUAGCACUUCCCCUGCAUCCUGCCGCGAACCGUGCUACCAUUAGUUUGGUGGCGCUGGGGAUCGGCUCGUUUACUUUGAGAAAAAUAGAGUGUUCAAAGCAGGCCACACGCCUUGAAUAAGUUAGCAUGGAAUAAUGAUAAAGGACUUCGGUUCUAUUUUGUUGGUGUUCGGGACUGAAGUAAUGAUUGAUAGGGACAGUUGGGGCGGUCAGUAUUCCAAGGCGAGAGGUGAAAUUCUUAGACCUUCGGAAGACUAACAGCUGCGAAAGCGUUCCGCAAGGAUGUUCCCUUUGAUCAAGAACGAAAGUUGGGGGAUCGAAGACGAUCAGAUACCGUCGUAGUCUCAACCAUAAACUAUACCAGCUAGGGAUCGGCCAACGUUUACUUAUAUCGACUUGGUCGGCACCUUAUGAGAAAAUCAAAGCAUCUGGGGUUCCGGGGGGAAGUAUGGUCGCAAGGCUGAAACUUAAAAGGAAUUGACGGAAGGGCACCC
RNAcentral lists this ribosomal RNA (562 nucleotides) under uncultured marine eukaryote. Its description in RNAcentral is "bacterial SSU rRNA". It matches the Rfam family "Eukaryotic small subunit ribosomal RNA", at positions 613 to 1169 of the family's 1831-position model. The record is from RNAcentral.